AGCGGCGGACGGCAGAGUAACGCGUAGGAACAUACCCCAAACGGAGGGAUAACUCCGAGAAAUCGGGGCUAAUACCGCAUGUGAUCUUCGGAUUAAAGCUUCGGCGGUUUGGGAAUGGCCUGCGUAUGAUUAGCUUGUUGGUGAGGUAAAAGCUCACCAAGGCGACGAUCAUUAGCUGGUCUGAGAGGAUGAUCAGCCUGACUGGGACUGAGACACGGCCCAGACUCCUACGGGAGGCAGCAGUAGGGAAUUUUCCACAAUGGGCGAAAGCCUGAUGGAGCAACGCCGCGUGCAGGAUGAAGGCCUUCGGGUUGUAAACUGCUUUUAUUUGUGACGAUUAUGACGGUAACAAAUGAAUAAGGACCUGCUAACUACGUGCCAGCAGCCGCGGUCAUACGUGGGGUCCAAGCGUUAUCCGGAAUUACUGGGCGUAAAGAGUUGCGUAGGUGGCAGAGUAAGUAGGUAGUGAAAUUGUGUGGCUCAACCAUACACCCAUUAUCUAAACUGCUCAGCUAGAGUAUGGGAGAGGUCACUGGAAUUUCUUGUGUAGGAGUGAAAUCCGUAGAUAUAAGAAGGAACACCGGUGGCGUAGGCAGGUGACUGGCCCAUUACUGACACUAAGGCACGAAAGCGUGGGGAGCGAACUGGAUUAGAUACCCAGGUAGUCCACGCCGU
RNAcentral lists this ribosomal RNA (675 nucleotides) under uncultured Saccharimonas sp. (SeqCode). RNAcentral describes it as "bacterial SSU rRNA". It matches the Rfam family "Bacterial small subunit ribosomal RNA", at positions 94 to 803 of the family's 1533-position model. The record is from RNAcentral. Lineage: Bacteria; Candidatus Saccharimonadota; Candidatus Saccharimonadia; Saccharimonadales (SeqCode); Saccharimonadaceae (SeqCode).